Molecule: small RNA, 55 nt
Filed under: Arabidopsis thaliana (thale cress)
Lineage: Eukaryota; Viridiplantae; Streptophyta; Magnoliopsida; Brassicales; Brassicaceae
Description: ATSL095150
Source: RNAcentral
CUUAUGGAUUUUUCUUUCCGCCUUUUCAAAUCACUUACACAUUCAUCCUGAGAAU